UUUUCGACCAAAAAAAAUUAAAAGUUUGUUAAUUGUUUUUUUAAUUCGAAAAAGAAAAAUGGCUAACUGUGGCUGUGGCUCUGCCUGCAAUUGCAAUCCCAACAACUGCUCAUGCAACCAUAAUGUUGCUCCCAUGAAAGAGAACUUUGAAGGUGGCUGCGGCUGCAACAAAUGCUCAUGUGGAGACAAUUGCAAGUGCAAUCCAUGCAACUGCUAAAGCUAAGAGCUUUCAAUAUAGAAAGCAUAUUUAAUUUACAUAUUUGAUGUUGGGUAUGAUUUGAAAUAUGUAUCAAUGGUUGUGUGUGUGUAUGUUGUUUGUCUGUAAGGUGUUUGACAAAAUGCCGCUUACAAAUACUUGAGAAAUAAAA
This 368-nucleotide small RNA is filed under the name Hevea brasiliensis (rubber tree). Lineage: Eukaryota; Viridiplantae; Streptophyta; Magnoliopsida; Malpighiales; Euphorbiaceae. The record is from RNAcentral.